RNAcentral lists this ribosomal RNA (263 nucleotides) under uncultured bacterium. Its description in RNAcentral is "partial 16S ribosomal RNA". It matches the Rfam family "Bacterial small subunit ribosomal RNA", at positions 793 to 1055 of the family's 1533-position model. The record is from RNAcentral.
GUCCACGCCCUAAACGAUGUCGACUGGUUGUUGGGGUUGACACUCUCAGUAACGAAGCUAACGCGUGAAGUCGACCGCCUGGGGAGUACGGCCGCAAGGUUAAAACUCAAAGGAAUUGACGGGGACCCGCACAAGCGGUGGAUUAUGUGGAUUAAUUCUAUGCAACGCGAAAAACCUUACCUACCCUUGACAUGUCCGAGAGCCCGUAGAGAUAUGGGUGUGCCCGAAAGGGAAUCGGAACACAGGUGCUGCAUGGCUGUCGU